AGCGCAAGCUUAAAACUUAAAGGACUUGACGGUGUCCCAUCUACCUAGAGGAGCCUGUUCUAUAAUCGAUAAUCCUCGUUAUAUCUCACCUUUUUUAGCUUAUCACUCUGUAUACUUCCGUCGUAAGCUUACCAUAUNANUGUSUUANUAAGUUAAAUAGUAAUAAUAAUUACCAAAACGUCAGGUCAAAGUGCAGCCAACAAAAAGGGAAGAAAUGGGCUACAAUUUCUACUUAAGAACAUACGAAUUUAAGUAACUGAAAACUACUAUGAAGGCGGAUUUAGAAGUAAAAUGAAAAUAAAGUGUUCAUUUUAACAAUGCUCUGGGACGUGUAC
Molecule: ribosomal RNA, 335 nt
Filed under: Hyperolius argus (argus reed frog)
Lineage: Eukaryota; Metazoa; Chordata; Amphibia; Anura; Hyperoliidae
Description: partial 12S ribosomal RNA
Rfam family: Bacterial small subunit ribosomal RNA
Source: RNAcentral